UCCCUGGUGGCUCAGAGGUUAAAGCGUCUGCGUGGAAUGCGGGCAACUCGGGUUCAAUCCCUGGUUUGGGAA
This 72-nucleotide transfer RNA is filed under the name Bos taurus (domestic cattle). It matches the Rfam family "tRNA". Rfam says of the family: Transfer RNA (tRNA) molecules are approximately 80 nucleotides in length. Their secondary structure includes four short double-helical elements and three loops (D, anti-codon, and T loops). Further hydrogen bonds mediate the characteristic L-shaped molecular structure. tRNAs have two regions of fundamental functional importance: the anti-codon, which is responsible for specific mRNA codon recognition, and the 3' end, to which the tRNAs corresponding amino acid is attached (by aminoacyl-tRNA synthetases). tRNAs cope with the degeneracy of the genetic code in two manners: having more than one tRNA (with a specific anti-codon) for a particular amino acid; and 'wobble' base-pairing, i.e. permitting non-standard base-pairing at the 3rd anti-codon position. RNAcentral also lists the same sequence under 1 other name. The record is from Rfam by way of RNAcentral. Lineage: Eukaryota; Metazoa; Chordata; Mammalia; Artiodactyla; Bovidae.